This 1344-nucleotide long non-coding RNA is filed under the name Mytilus galloprovincialis (Mediterranean mussel). The record is from RNAcentral. Lineage: Eukaryota; Metazoa; Mollusca; Bivalvia; Mytilida; Mytilidae.
AUCAAAAUUUUCACUUCCUGUUAACUGCUAUAAAAAGUUAAUAAAAUUAAUUGAAAGAUAUAAAAAUACUACAAAAUCAAAGAAGCAUUUCAUUUUUCAAACAUCUAGUCGUAUUAAGCUUUGUAAUAAAUAGAACAUCAUGGCUGUUCUACAAAAAGUUACUAGUAACACAAAUCCCUUCAAAAGGCCUCAUGUAAAUGUAUGCAUUUUAAUCAUAACUAUUUAAAUAUAUAAUGAUACACCUGCCAACUUUCACCAAUUUAUGGGGAAUUUCUCCCAUGGGAGGGAUUGACCUGAAUUUUGAAAAUCUAUAUUUUCAUUUAAACUGAACACCUCAAAACAGGCAUUCAAAUGAUUUAAAUGGGUAUGAAAUGUAAGCAUACACGUCCUCAAUUAAACAAUAUGGAAGUAGAUUAAAAACACGAAUGAUGAUGAUGGAAGUUUUUAACGACCUUGACUGGCUAAAAAUACCCUUGCAUACUAAUAAAAAUUGAAGAGGAGAAUUAUAGUUCCCCUUGUGCUUCAAAUCCCUCAUGAAGAUUUUGAAAGUUGGCAGGUAUGUACAUUGGUUUUUGAUUCAUUCAACAAAUUAUAAAUGUAACAAGCAACAAAUAUCUACGACUACUUUUAGUACAUACACUGUAUAUGUAUAAUGUCAUUGAAAAACAGAUGAUACAUUGAUAACUGGCCCAUGGUGAGAAGAACUCAGAAAACAGUCCAAUCAUGUCCAUACAAAUUUGAGAAGACGGCUUAUCAAAAUGCAUAUAUAUAGUCAAACCUGCUAUAAAGGUCAUCUCUAUCAAGGUCAUCCUCUUUAUUUCCUCAUUGUAGUAAUACAAAUACAUUUGAACCUCAAUUCAAAGGUCAACCUAUCUUAUGUGGUCAGUUUUCAAUGGCUCCAAAGGUUGAAUGUUAUAUACAGGUUUGACUGUAUUUUAAAAACAAACAAAGAAAUAGAAAAAAGUUUAUUAUUUUUUUCCUCAAACAGUUUCAGCAAAUGCAUGUUGAAAACCAAUUUUUAUUUUUAUUUUAGCUGAAUGAUAGCAAGAUCUACCACUACAUGUAUGUUAAUGGUUAGUUUUCUUUGAAUAAAACUGAAUCAGGACACAAAUUCACACCCUUUUUCUAAAACUAAAUUUACAUAUAUCAAGAGCUGUUAUGGAUACCCUAAUAAUCAUUUGAGGCCAGAUAGAGAAAAAUAUGACAUGAGUAACGCCUAUAAUAUGGUAAAUUUUCUAACAUUUUCAUUUAAGUUUAUUUACUUCACUAGUUGUAGAUAAAAAAAAACAAAGCUACUUUAACACUUACUGAUGAACAUAUGAAAAAAAGACUUGCCAAUUUAUC